AAGGAAUAUUGGACAAUGGUCGGAAGACUGAUCCAGCCAUGCCGCGUGAAGGAAGAAGGCGCUCAGCGUUGUAAACUUCUUAUGGAUGGGAAUAAUAACCUCUACGAGAUAGGGGCUUGAAGGUACCAUCAGAAUAAGCACCGGCUAACUCCGUGCCAGCAGCCGCGGUAAUACGGAGGGUGCGAGCGUUAUCCGGAAUCACUGGGUUUAAAGGGUGCGUAGGCGGCCUUAUAAGUCAGUUGUGAAAUAUCCUCGCUUAACGAGGGGACUGCGAUUGAUACUGUAGGGCUUGAAUUGGGUUGAGGCAGGCGGAAUGUGGCAUGUAGCGGUGAAAUGCAUAGAUAUGCCAUAGAACACCGAUUGCGAAGGCAGCUUGCUGGACCUUGAUUGACGCUGAGGCACGAAAGCGUGGGGAGCAAAC
RNAcentral lists this ribosomal RNA (421 nucleotides) under uncultured bacterium. RNAcentral's name for it is "bacterial SSU rRNA". It matches the Rfam family "Bacterial small subunit ribosomal RNA", at positions 356 to 773 of the family's 1533-position model. The record is from RNAcentral.